Non-coding RNA from Vicia faba (fava bean), 76 nucleotides. NCBI's taxonomy places the organism in Eukaryota, Viridiplantae, Streptophyta, Magnoliopsida, Fabales, Fabaceae. The record is from the annotation of a GenBank genome assembly.
AGCAAAGAAGGUACCUGGCCGGAGUAACCGACGGUGUAAAAUGCUAGUUGCUCAUGACGCAGGUCUGCAAGCAUAG